UGGGGAAUAUUGCACAAUGGGCGCAAGCCUGAUGCAGCCAUGCCGCGUGUAUGAAGAAGGCCUUCGGGUUGUAAAGUACUUUCAGCGAGGAGGAAGGCGUUAAGGUUAAUAACCUUAGCGAUUGACGUUACUCGCAGAAAAAGCACCGGCUAACUCCGUGCCAGCAGCCGCGGUAAUACGGAGGGUGCAAGCGUUAAUCGGAAUUACUGGGCGUAAAGCGCACGCAGGCGGUCUGUCAAGCCGGAUGUGAAAUCCCCGGGCUCAACCUGGGAACUGCAUUCGAAACUGGCAGGCUAUAGUCUUGUAAAGGG
RNAcentral lists this ribosomal RNA (311 nucleotides) under uncultured bacterium. RNAcentral's name for it is "bacterial SSU rRNA". It matches the Rfam family "Bacterial small subunit ribosomal RNA", at positions 355 to 658 of the family's 1533-position model. The record is from RNAcentral.